GUCGCUGCUCUGUGGGAGGGAAAAAAAAGGAAUGGAAAGAUAAAGUAAGCGUUUUGAUAACGCAGAAGUUGUUUUUAAUCAUGACAUUUGAUUUUAAUUUACUGAUCAUUAUAAAACUAGUUUUACAUGCAAUCGAAAAAGGCACUUUUAAUAGUAGUUUCCGUGGCUUGUAUCUAUAAAUGUUCUUUUCAGUUCAUUAAGAAAAUUAAAAAUUUUAGGAAUUUAAAAAAUUGUUAUAGUAAGAGGCAUUACAAUAUAUGUUGGUAGGUUAAGGUAGCUCAAAAUAUAUUGUACAGCAAAA
Molecule: long non-coding RNA, 301 nt
Organism: Drosophila elegans
Lineage: Eukaryota; Metazoa; Arthropoda; Insecta; Diptera; Drosophilidae
Exons: 2
Source: RefSeq, a predicted model, not a curated record